UACGGAGGGGGCUAGCGUUGUUCGGAAUUACUGGGCGUAAAGCGCACGUAGGCGGACUGUUAAGUCGGGGGUGAAAUCCUGGGGCUCAACCUCAGAAUUGCCUCCGAUACUGGCAGUCUCGAGUGCGGGAGAGGUGAGUGGAAUUCCCAGUGUAGAGGUGAAAUUCGUAGAUAUUGGGAAGAACACCUGCGGCGAAGGCGGGUUGCUGGGCUGACACUGACGCUGAGGCGCGAAAGCUAGGGGAGCGAACGGG
This 253-nucleotide ribosomal RNA is filed under the name uncultured bacterium. RNAcentral's name for it is "partial 16S ribosomal RNA". It matches the Rfam family "Bacterial small subunit ribosomal RNA", at positions 524 to 776 of the family's 1533-position model. The record is from RNAcentral.